UUUUUUGGUGGUAUCUUUGUCUUAUUUUGGAUUUAGGGUGAUGGUGGCGUCAUAGAAUGUCUUGGGAGUGUUCCUUCUUCUUCAGCCUUUUGGAAAAGUUUAAGGAAGAUUGGUAUAAGUUUCUCUUUGAAUGUUUGGUGGAAUUCACCUGUGAAGCCAUCUGGUCAUGGACUUUUAUUUGUAGGGAGUGUUUUUAUGACAUAUUCAAUUUCAUUUCUCAUAAUUGGUCUGUUCAGUUGAUCUAUGUCUUCUUGAUUCAGACUGUAAGUCUCUAGAAAUUUGUCCAUUUCUUCAAGGUUGUUGCAUUUGUUGGCAUACAAUUGUUCAUAGUAUUCCCUCAUUUUUUUUGUAUUUAUGUAAUAUCCGUUGUGACUUCUCCUUUUCAUAUUUUGUUUAUUUGGGUUUUUUCUCUCGUCUUCUUACUGAGUCUGGUCAGCAGUUUCUCAAUUUUAUUUACCUUUUCAAAGAACCAGCUCUUGGUUUUAUAUGUUUUUUCUAUUUCUUAAUCUCUAUUUUAUUGAUUUCCUCUCUGAUCUUUAUGAUUUCCUUCCUUCUGCUGACUUUAGGUUUUGUUUGUUCUUCUUUUUCUAAUUCAUUUAGGUGAUGGGUUAAGUUGUCAAUUUGAGAUUUUUCUUCUUUUUUGAGGAAAGCCUGUAUUGCUAUGAACUUCCCUCUGAGCACUGCUUUUGUGGCAUCCCAUAAAUUUUGAGUAGUUGUGUCAUCAUUAUCAUUUGUCUCGAGGUGUUUUUUAAUUUCCUUCUUGAUUUCCUCAUUGACCCAUUGGUUUUUUGGUAGCAUGUUGUUUAGUCUCCAUGUUGUCAAUUUUUUCUCAUUUCUUUUCCUGUGAUUGAUUUCUAGUUUCAUGCCUUUGUGGUCAGAGAAGAUACUUGAAAUAUUUUCUAUACUCUUAAAUUUGUUGAGGUUAGCUUUGUUCCCCAGUAUGUGAUCAAUUCUUGAGAAUGUUCCAUGUGCACUUGAAAAUAAUGUAUAUUCUGAUGUUUUGGGAUGUAAUGUCCUGAAAAUAUCAAGUAAGUCUAAAUUUUCUAUUGUGUCCUUUAGCAUCUCUGUUGCCUUACUGAUUUUCUGUCUAGAGGAUCUGUCCAUUGAUGUGAGUGGGGUGUUAAAAUCUCCUACUAUGAUUGUAUUCCCAUCAAUUUCUCCUUUUAUGUCUGUUAGUAUUUGUUGUAGGUAUCUGGGUACUUCUAUAUUAGGGGCAUAUAUAUUGAUGAUUGUAAUAUCCUCUUCUUGAAUGGAUCCUUUUAUCACUAAAUAAUGACCUUCUUUUUCUUUUUUUAUGGCCUUCAUUUUAAAGUCUAUUUUGUCUGAUAAGAGUAUUGCAACUCCUGCUUUCCUGUCUUGUCCAUUGGCAUGAAAUAUCUUUUCCCAUCCCCUCACUUUCAAUCUAUAUGUGUGCUUUGUCCUAAGGUGAGUUUCUUGUAGACAGCCGAUUGAAGGUUUUUGCUUUUUUAUCCAAUCUGCCACUCUUUGUCUUUUGAUUGGAGCAUUGACAUUUAAGGUGAUUCUUGAUAGAUAUGUAUUUACUGCCAUUUUAAACCUCGUUUUCCAAUUGAUUCUAUAUUUCUCUUUUCUUUUUUUGGCUGGAUGGCUUCCAUUUAUUUUAUGCUUGAGUACUUUUACAUUCAGGUUUUGUGAAUUUAAUUUUUGGUUUUGAUUUGUGGUUGCCCUGUUUUUUAAAUAUGCUAACCCCUUCCUAUAUCUGAACCUAUAUGACAUUCACGCUAAAGCAAGAAAACACAUCAUUAAAAUGAAAAAAUGAAUCUAUAUUUUCCUACUUUCCUUCCCCACUUUGUAUGAUUUAAUGUCUUUUUUUUAACAUCUUCAUGUUUAGAUCUGUAUGCUGGCUUAUUUUAGUGAUUGCUUUCCAAUUGUGGUUUCCUCUUGAAUGUCCUUUCUAUCUGCUAGAUUGGAUGCUGCCUGAUUUGAAUCAAUUUUCUGCUCAAAUAUACUCUUAAAAUUUUUAGUAUGCUUUAGUUUAUCUUUUAAAACCAUGAAAAGCAAUACUAUUCAGCAACAAAAAGGAAAAAACUACCGAGAAUGUGUUACACCAUGGAUGAAUCUCAAAAAUUCUAAGGCAAGUAAAAGAACCAAAUGUAGGAGAUAUUAAAUGUUAGUGUUUUAAUAUGUACAUGAAAUAUUCAGAAGAGGUGAAUCUAUAAAUAAGAAGACAAUGAGUGUUUUCCCAGGGUGGUAGAGAAUGAGGACAGAUAGCAAAAGGGCACAAAAGAACUUUUAAGAAUCAUGGAAGUAUUCUAAAAUUGGAUUAUGCUGAAGGCAGCACAACUCUGAAAGUUAGUAAAAUUCAUUGAACUGUAUAGUUAAAAAAGAUGUAUUUUAUUGUAUGUAUAUUAUAUUUCAAUGUCUAUAAAAUAUUUAAAUUUCACUAAUGAAUAUGCAUAGAAAACUCCUAAGUAAAACAUAAGAAAAUAGAACUUAGUAGGGAUAAAAUGGUAAUAAAUAAUGAACAUUCAAUAUACCAGUAGAAAUACAUUAAAGGGUUAAUAUUCUAUAAUUAAGUACAUGCUGAAAAACUAAUUGAUAAAGUUAAUCAGUAGUUUCAAAUUUAAAAUAAAAAUCUAACUAAUGUUUGAAUUAAAAACUUAAAUGUGAUAUAUAGGUUGUUUACCAAAAACAAACAGUAGUCAGCACUCCAGCUGUGGGGAUGAAACAAAGCUCCAAGCCUCUUGCUUUUGGGAAGGUGGAUUUGAGACUUGUUCUCUCACAUCUUUGCUUGGCUGCCUUAUGAAUAAACUCUGUCUUUGCUACAAACAUCCUUCACUGUUUGGCUUUCUGUAUGUCAGGCAAAAUGCACCUGGUCCAGUAACACAACGAAGAGACUGAAAACUUGCUCAUUAUCACUAACAGUCAAGGAGAUGUAAAUUACAACACAGAAAUCACUGCAAUGCAUCAGAUUGGCAAAACUAUAAAGAAUAGAUACUCACUGUAGGACAAGGACUUAAAAACUAGGCAUUCACACACUGUUAGUAGAACUAGGAAUACUGCAUUGUUUUUGGAAAUAAUCUGAUGAUAUCUAUUGAAAUUUAAAAUACGUAAUGUUUGACCUGCGACUUGAUGUGGGGUGUUUAACCUAGAUGUAGAUGUACAGGAUGUUUAGGUGGUAGACUUGCUCUCUAACUCUGGGGUUAUUAAGUUAUUAGAGUAGUGAGAUUCAAUUUGCAUUUACAAAAUACCCUCAAAUAAUACCAUAAAUUUCUCAAGGAAUUAGUUAACAGAACUUUGUACAAUGAGAUAUUCAUAAUAGAAGGCAUGUGAGAAAAAUAACUCAACUAAGAGAGUAAUAGAUUUCCUCUCUAUAGACAAGUCUUCAUUCUUGUUUUCAGGCAUAUGAUUAUUAAAUACAGCAGCAAGUGGAAUGACCCACAUUGUUUAAAUUGUUUCUCUCCUACCUGAACAUGGAGACCAGAGUUAACAUCACUAAUAAUGGAAAAGAAAUGACACCAUCUGCCUCCUAGGGUAAUUCACUGAAUAGAACAUAACAGCAUUAUGCAAUGCUCUAGCCAAAAAUGCAUAAUCUGAAUCUAAUCCCCCCCCAAAAUAGAGAAAUCAUUGAGUGACUUCCUGCAAAACAAUGUCUUUCUCCUCAAAAUGCCAGUGUCAUAAAAGAUAAAAGGAUUAUUAAGCAUAUUUCAUAUGAAGAGAAGAUAAUGGAGUAUGGCAAGGAAACUAAAAGGCUACGACUGCCAAAUGCAUUUCAUGAUUUUGAAUUGGAGCUUAGAUUUUUUACAAAAUUUCUAUAAACAAUUGGUAAACAAUGAAAUUUGAAUAAGGGUGGUAUAUAAGAUACUCAUAUUAUAUUAAUGUUUAAUUUUGUGAAUCUGAUCAGAAAUGCUAAUAUUCAUUAUGAUAAAAUAUUUACUAGUAAAAGAGAUGUAUGCUGAAGAGUUUAGUUUAGGAGUCCACCAUUUUCAAAUAGCUCAAAAAAAUUAAGUGUACACUCACAUCCAUAAACUAAAAACUAGUAAAUCUAGGUGAAAUCUAUACAAUCAUUGUGAAUAUUUUGCAUAUUUUUGUAGUUUUAAAUGUUAUAAAAACAAAAAAUUAGAAAAAUAACUAGACAAGCUAUAAUCCCUAAUGUGUUAACUGGGUAUAUGAUGGUUUUUCAAAAUGAUAGAAUCAAAGGAGAAAGAGAGAUUGAAUUUUGGCAACUGUGGGGCUAGCAAGUGUGAAGUUUGUUGAGCAGUCUGGAAGGCUAGAAACUCAAGGAAGACUUUAUGUUGCCAAAUUGAGCCUGAAAUAUGAAGGUUGGAAUCUCAGGCAGGGUUUCUGUUUCAAUCUGGAGACAGAAUUCCUUCUUAAGGAAACUUCCGUCUUUGCUCUUAAGUCCUUUAAUUGAUUGGACAAGGCCUACCCACAUUAUGGAGGGAAAUCUGCUUUGUUCAAAGCCUACUGAUUUAAAUGUUAAUCAUUUCUAAAAAAUACCUACACAGCAACAUCUAGAGUAAGGUUUAAACAAACAAAUGGGCACCAUACCCUGGUCCAGACUGACAUAAAAUUCUCCAUCACAGAGAGUUAAAGAUACAGAAUAGAAUACAUCUAAGAAAAUGAUUGAGCUUUUAGCACAAAUCUGUCAUAUCUGUAUUGUUAAAGUCUUCUAAUCUUUUCUUUAUCACAUGCACACACAGAUACACACACACACACACACACACACACACACACACACAAAGAAGCAACACAAAGUGAAGUCCACUCAGACAAUUAUGCUGGUUGCAGUAAAUCUGAAUUACCAGGAAGUGGUAGCAGCAAUGUCCACAGCAGCAGCUAAUAUCCAAUGUCACCCAGGACAAAUUACCUGGAUGAGUAGUUGGACCAGUCCAGCAAAAUGACAUAGGGCAUUUUGCCUGACAAGAGUCCUAACCUUCAUAUUUCCAGCUCUCUCAGAGAUUCUGUGAACUACACAAUAUCCUCCUAAUUAUUUUUUUAAGUGCUUGACCCAGCAAAUGUCAUUUUUCUGUUGCUUGCAACUAAAAAUUCUGAUUGUGAAUGUGUUAUCAGGAAAAAGUGCAAUUAUUUACUUCAGCUAAGGGACAAGGAUAAGGCUGAGGGUAGUGAAGACCCUGUCAUUAAAUGGGUCUAUCUUUGCUAGAUGGUUACAAAAUGCUUAAUAAAAGUUGUAAAAUCAAAAAGUGUAGGAUGACCUCUAGAAUUCUGCAUGAACUUAGAGACUUCUUACUGUCUACAAUGAUGCCUACACUAAAGAAAGGAACAAUCUUAGGCUAAAGGUGACACUAAUUAAUAGCUAACUGGGAGAAUGCAGAUUUAGCAGAAUAUAAACCUAGGACAAGGAAAAAGUCAUAGCUUCCAAGAACUUCCUGGAAUUGAGUUGUGGAUUCUCUUCUUUAAAAAGAGGUUAAGGAGUUCCUGUCGUGGCUCAGUGGUUAACAAAUCUGACUGGGAACCAUGAGGUUAUGGCUUUGCUCCCUGGCCUUGCUCAGUGGGUUAAGGAUCCAGCAUUGCUGUGGCUGUGGUGUAAGCCGGUGGCUACAGCUCCGAUUAGACCCCUAGCCUUGGAACCUCCAUAUGCCAUGGGUGCAGCCAUAGAAAAGGCAAAAAGACAAAUAAAAAAUAAAAAAAUAAAAAGAGGUCAAGUCUGGUGGCAAAAAUCAGAUCGUGAAGGGUAUAGGUUUAAAUUGCUUCAGCACUGAAGCUAUUAAACCAGGGGACAUGUGGCAAGACAUCUCUAGAUACCAGAACCAAAGGUAUUUGUUUUGUUUUGUUUUUUCCUCAUCAUUAGCCAAUGACAUUAUUUAAAAGGAAAUAUACGAAAUUUCAAGGGGUCUGUAUUUCCAAAGCAACCCCAUAUUUGGCCUGUGCCAAUUUGCAACUAUUCAAGCCCAAGACGAUCCCUAUGUCCCUGAAUUUGCACCAACACAAAGAGGUUGCUAAAGUUAUGCAUCUCUCUAAAGAGCAUCCCAUCUUAUGUAUGGAAUAUACAGAAAAGAAGUUUGUCCCAGAAAAUAGAACCAGAGCCUUGUAGAUUUCUGACUAAAAUCAAUGAAAACACUGCACUCCUUGGGAAGAUAAGCCUCACCUUCCUAUCUAGAAGGACUUGACAUUGGCCAUGUACCAAUGACAUGAAUAUGUGUGUGAUGUACCCAUCUUCCCUUUCAUAAAUAGAAAUCUUCAUUAUAUUUACCUUAUUUAUUCAUCACUAAGGUAUACCGUGCUGAGAUAACAUCUUUUUCUGUAGUUCCCUAGAACAUGAAGAGCUCCAUGAAGACUUGAUAGAUAGGAUUGCUCCUAACCUGGAAACCCUGGACUUCAAAUUCAAUGAAGUAAAUAGAUGAAACUUGGAAUUGUUUCUUUUUUAGCAAAGGAAUGACAGAAUUCAUGGGGUAUAGCUAUUCUUUGAAGUAUAUUUUAAGACUAUAUUUGAAAAUAGACAUUGAGUAGACAAGUUAUAUCUGCUACAUGUGUAGAGUAUCAGUUUAAGAGAAAGAUAGGGAUGUAUAUACAUGUAUGUGUAUAUACAUGUACACUUAUAUGUACAUAUAUGUAUAUUUUUAGAAGAGUCUAGAAAAAAAUGUCAUAGGACAUAU
RNAcentral lists this long non-coding RNA (6575 nucleotides) under Sus scrofa (pig). RNAcentral's name for it is "lncRNA (ENSSSCG00050000309.1)". Lineage: Eukaryota; Metazoa; Chordata; Mammalia; Artiodactyla; Suidae. The record is from RNAcentral.